RNAcentral lists this ribosomal RNA (379 nucleotides) under uncultured Chroococcidiopsis sp. RNAcentral's name for it is "SSU rRNA". It matches the Rfam family "Bacterial small subunit ribosomal RNA", at positions 376 to 770 of the family's 1533-position model. The record is from RNAcentral. Lineage: Bacteria; Bacillati; Cyanobacteriota; Cyanophyceae; Chroococcidiopsidales; Chroococcidiopsidaceae.
GGAAAGCCCGACGGAGCAAUACCGCGCGAGGGAGGAAGGCUGUUGGGUCGUAAACCUCUUUUUUCAGGGAAGAGAAAAAUGACGGUACCUGAGGAAUAAGCAUCGGCUAACUCCGUGCCAGCAGCCGCGGUAAUACGGAGGAUGGAGCGUUAUCCGGAAUGAUUGGGCGUAAAGCGUCCGCAGGUGGCAGUGCAAGUCUACUGUCAAAGGUCGGGGCUCAACCCCGAACAGGCAGAGGAAACUGCACCGCUUGAGGGCGGCGGGGGCAGAGGGAAUUCCCAGUGUAGCGGUGAAAUGCGUAGAGAUUGGGAAGAACACCCGUGGCGAAAGCGCUCUGCUGGGCCACACCUGACACUCAUGGACGAAAGCUAGGGGAGCG